CCGGUUGAGGCAACGGUAACCUGUCAUGCAUUAAAUGCUCCAACGGCUAGUGAACCGGUCGAUCCCUAGCUCGACCGAACGAGUUUGCCUUUUGCUGAUUUUGACUCCCAAGCUUAGAAACCUAUAAAUUGAGAGCUCCACUUCAUUUAUUGACAAGAGAACACUUGCAUUCAAAGCCCACCUACCUGUUCUUGAUCAAAAAGCUCUCAUUUCUUUCAUAAGUGCAUUAAAUCACCACUUGCAUAUCCUUUAGUGCACUCUUGUUGUCAUCCUAGCUUUGCCUUGUAUUUGAGUCAUCUUUAAGCUAGGUUGAGUGAGUAUAUUUUGUAACAAUCUGAGUGUUAAAGCCUUUAAGAGGGUUGAAUCU
This 367-nucleotide long non-coding RNA is filed under the name Vitis vinifera (wine grape). RNAcentral describes it as "long non-coding RNA (VVIN_LNC006209)". The record is from RNAcentral. Lineage: Eukaryota; Viridiplantae; Streptophyta; Magnoliopsida; Vitales; Vitaceae.